This 86-nucleotide non-coding RNA is filed under the name Marinomonas mediterranea MMB-1. RNAcentral's name for it is "sRNA-Xcc1". It matches the Rfam family "sRNA-Xcc1". Lineage: Bacteria; Pseudomonadati; Pseudomonadota; Gammaproteobacteria; Oceanospirillales; Oceanospirillaceae. The record is from Rfam by way of RNAcentral.
GUCGGGAGGGCAGCAGUUAUACAAUACCCUUGGGGAAAGCUGCUCGCGGUUUCUUACAGCCGUUUCGAACCUCCCGACACCAUUUU